UACGAAGGGGGCUAGCGUUGCUCGGAAUUACUGGGCGUAAAGCGCACGUAGGCGGAUUGUUAAGUCGGGGGUGAAAUCCUGGAGCUCAACUCCAGAACUGCCUUCGAUACUGGCGAUCUCGAGUUCGGGAGAGGUGAGUGGAACUGCGAGUGUAGAGGUGAAAUUCGUAGAUAUUGGGAAGAACACCGAUGGCGAAGGCAGCCAUCUGGACCGACACUGACGCUGAGGCGCGAAAGCGUGGGGAGCAAACAGG
This 253-nucleotide ribosomal RNA is filed under the name uncultured bacterium. RNAcentral describes it as "partial 16S ribosomal RNA". It matches the Rfam family "Bacterial small subunit ribosomal RNA", at positions 524 to 776 of the family's 1533-position model. The record is from RNAcentral.